CCCUUAGAUGUUCUGGGCUGCACGCGUGCUACACUGACGCACGCAACAGGUGCCUGCUCCGAGAGGACUGGGUAAUCAUUUGAGUGUGCGUCGUGAUGGGGAUAGAAUAUUGUAAUUAUUACUCUUCAACGAGGAAUUCCUAGUAAGCGCCAGUCAGCAGCUUGCGCUGAUUACGUCCCUGCCCUUUGUACACACCGCCCGUCGCUCCUACCGAUGGGUGAUCCGGUGAAUGAUUCGGACUUCAGCGGCUCCCCUGGGGUGCGCCGGAGAAAGUUUUGUGAACCUUAUCACUUGGAGGAAGGAGAAGUCGUAACA
This 315-nucleotide ribosomal RNA is filed under the name uncultured eukaryote. RNAcentral describes it as "partial 18S ribosomal RNA". It matches the Rfam family "Eukaryotic small subunit ribosomal RNA", at positions 1470 to 1796 of the family's 1831-position model. The record is from RNAcentral.